GCUGAUAUGGCUCCGUUGGUAGAGCGCACCCUGAAUAAGGGUGAGGUCGGCAGUGCGAAUCUGCUUACCAACACCA
RNAcentral lists this transfer RNA (76 nucleotides) under Shewanella livingstonensis. RNAcentral describes it as "tRNA-Ile". The record is from RNAcentral. Lineage: Bacteria; Pseudomonadati; Pseudomonadota; Gammaproteobacteria; Alteromonadales; Shewanellaceae.